RNAcentral lists this ribosomal RNA (253 nucleotides) under uncultured bacterium. Its description in RNAcentral is "partial 16S ribosomal RNA". It matches the Rfam family "Bacterial small subunit ribosomal RNA", at positions 524 to 776 of the family's 1533-position model. The record is from RNAcentral.
UACGUAGGGUGCAAGCGUUGUCCGGAAUUAUUGGGCGUAAAGAGCUCGUAGGCGGUCUGUCGCGUCGGCUGUGAAAACUCGGGCCUCAACCCCGAGCCUGCAGUCGAUACGGGCAGACUAGAGUGCUGUAGGGGAGACUGGAAUUCCUGGUGUAGCGGUGAAAUGCGCAGAUAUCAGGAGGAACACCGGUGGCGAAGGCGGGUCUCUGGGCAGUAACUGACGCUGAGGAGCGAAAGCGUGGGGAGCGAACAGG